ACGGGAUGCUUCGGCAUCUAGUGGCGGACGGGUGAGUAACGCGUGAGAAUCUGGCUUUAGGUUCGGGACAACAGUGGGAAACUGCUGCUAAUACCGAAUGUGCAGAAAUGUGAAAGAUUAAUUGCCUGAAGAUGAGCUCGCGUCUGAUUAGCUAGUUGGUGAGGUAAAGGCUCACCAAGGCGACGAUCAGUAACUGGUCUGAGAGGAUGACCAGUCACACUGGGACUGAGACACGGCCCAGACUCCUACGGGAGGCAGCAGUGGGGAAUUUUCCGCAAUGGGCGAAAGCCUGACGGAGCAAUACCGCGUGAGGGAGGAAGGCUCUUGGGUUGUAAACCUCUUUUCUCAGGGAAGAAAAAAAUGACGGUACCUGAGGAAUAAGCAUCGGCUAACUCCGUGCCAGCAGCCGCGGUAAUACGGAGGAUGCAAGCGUUAUCCGGAAUUAUUGGGCGUAAAGCGUCCGCAGGUGGCAAUUCAAGUCUGCUGUCAAAGGUCAGGGCUUAACUCUGAACAGGCAGUGGAAACUGAAUAGCUAGAGUGCGGUAGGGGCAGAGGGAAUUCCCAGUGUAGCGGUGAAAUGCGUAGAGAUUGGGAAGAACACCGGUGGCGAAAGCGCUCUGCUAGGCCGUAACUGACACUCAUGGACGAAAGCUAGGGGAGCGAAUGGGAUUAGAUACCCCAGUAGUCCUAGCCGUA
This 696-nucleotide ribosomal RNA is filed under the name uncultured cyanobacterium. RNAcentral's name for it is "bacterial SSU rRNA". It matches the Rfam family "Bacterial small subunit ribosomal RNA", at positions 66 to 804 of the family's 1533-position model. Lineage: Bacteria; Bacillati; Cyanobacteriota. The record is from RNAcentral.